Molecule: unclassified non-coding RNA, 378 nt
Filed under: plant metagenome
Description: partial contains 5.8S ribosomal RNA, internal transcribed spacer 2, and large subunit ribosomal RNA
Rfam family: 5.8S ribosomal RNA (bases 1-105)
Source: RNAcentral
GAAAUGCGAUAAGUAAUGUGAAUUGCAGAAUUCAGUGAAUCAUCGAAUCUUUGAACGCACCUUGCGCUCCUUGGUAUUCCUUGGAGCAUGCCUGUUUGAGUAUCAUGAAAUCUUCAAAGUAAAUCUUUUGUUAACUCAAUUGGUUUCUACUUUGGUAUUGGAGGUCUUUGCAGCUUCACACCUGCUCCUCUUUGUUCAUUAGCUGGAUCUCAGUGUUAUGCUUGGUUCCACUCGGCGUGAUAAGUUAUCUAUCGCUGAGGACACUGUAAAAGGUGGCCAAGGUAAAUGCAGAUGAACCGCUUCUAAUAUUCCAUUGACUUGGACAAUACUUUUAUGAUCUGAUCUCAAAUCAGGUAGGACUACCCGCUGAACUUAAGC